RNAcentral lists this ribosomal RNA (205 nucleotides) under Staphylococcus succinus. RNAcentral's name for it is "partial 16S ribosomal RNA". It matches the Rfam family "Bacterial small subunit ribosomal RNA", at positions 327 to 523 of the family's 1533-position model. Lineage: Bacteria; Bacillati; Bacillota; Bacilli; Caryophanales; Staphylococcaceae. The record is from RNAcentral.
CGGUCCAGACUCCUACGGGAGGCAGCAGUAGGGAAUCUUCCGCAAUGGGCGAAAGCCUGACGGAGCAACGCCGCGUGAGUGAUGAAGGUUUUCCGGAUCCGAAAACUCUGUUAUUAGGGAGAACAAAUGCGUAAGUAACUCGUGCGCAUCUUGACGGUACCUAAUCAGAAAGCCACGGCUAACUACGUGCCAGCAGCCGCGGUAA